UACAGAUUGUGCAAGCGUUAAUCGGACUUACUGGGCGUAAAGCGCGCGGAGGUGGCCAAUUAAGUCAAGUGUGAAAUCCCCGAGCUUAACUUGGGAAUUGCAUUCGAUACUGGUUGGCUAGAGUAUGGGAGAGGAUGGUAGAAUUCCAGGUGUAGCGGUGAAAUGCGUAGAGAUCUGGAGGAAUACCGAUGGCGAAGGCAGUCAUCUGGCCUAAUACUGACACUGAGGUGCGAAAGCAUGGGGAGCAAACAGG
This 253-nucleotide ribosomal RNA is filed under the name uncultured bacterium. RNAcentral's name for it is "partial 16S ribosomal RNA". It matches the Rfam family "Bacterial small subunit ribosomal RNA", at positions 524 to 776 of the family's 1533-position model. The record is from RNAcentral.